This 24-nucleotide transfer RNA is filed under the name Bulnesia chilensis. RNAcentral's name for it is "partial tRNA-Gly". Lineage: Eukaryota; Viridiplantae; Streptophyta; Magnoliopsida; Zygophyllales; Zygophyllaceae. The record is from RNAcentral.
GCGGGUAUUAGUUUAGUGGUAAAA